Molecule: ribosomal RNA, 1522 nt
Filed under: Triticum aestivum (bread wheat)
Lineage: Eukaryota; Viridiplantae; Streptophyta; Magnoliopsida; Poales; Poaceae
Description: partial small subunit ribosomal RNA
Source: RNAcentral
GGCACACGGGGAGUGCGUGACGUGGUAAGCAGUGAUAGUGUGGUUUAGGUGGCGCCAAGGAGGCGUCAGCGGACGUUGGGAUAGGGGAAUGGCGGUUUGGGGCGUCGGUGGCGUUCGGGCGUUGGCGGGAGGAGGAGGUAGGAGAGCGCGAGGGGAGGGUGUAGAGUAGGUGGGGAGAAGUAGAGCCUGGCCUAGUCUCUGCACACCCGCGCCUCCGCUCGAAGAGGCCGCCGCCGCUGGACGUCCGUUUCCCGCUGCCGUCGCCGCGACCUAAACUACGUCGCGGUACCUAGCGGGGGACGACUCUCUACUCCUACGACCUGACGGUAGUAAGGAGGAAGUGACACGCCACGGAGGACGCUCACAGUGGAGCAGGGUGGCCGAAGGUCGCGGCACCUAGGCGGCCCUACCUCCCGUUGUUCACUCUCCCUCGUCCUCUUCUCCACUUAGCUCCCUCACUUUCCUCGAGUGUGCCCUUCCCCGCGGAGGAGGGUACUGCCGUGCUAGUCGCCGAGAACGAGCUGGGGUACUAUGUGUUGUGUCACGGCCUCGACCCAGUUCCUCGACCGAGACGGAAGCGGUAACGGACUCUCUUCGUUGUGACCACAACCCGCAAAACAACAUAGGAAAGGUAGAGUACUACACUAAGAAAGAAAUUCUACUUAAUCAUUGAAACCCACCUCCACCGUCGUGUUGGACGACCAACAACAUUACGGAUGGAGUUUCUCUAAAUUGACGAAUCUUUUAAUAAAAAGAUGAACCGACAAAACGUGUACUACUCCAUACUGUACCUUACCAACCUAAAAAUCACCAUCCACUAGGAAUACGGCCGCCACUAUCGCUGGUGGUGACCAUAUGUUGUUAGGUCACCAACAGAGUACACACGAGGAUAGGAGGGGUGGAGGGGGUCUACGAAUUACAAGUCUUUUGAUUACUAAACCAAGAACCUACAAGUAUGUAUUAGAUCCAACAAGAACUCGAGGUUCCGACCGGAAUCCAAUCGUUAAGCCGUAGCCGUGUGAAGCUUAGAUAUGGGGUCCGCAAGUUCUGGAUCGCCCCGACCCGGUUGGCCAGGAAGUACAAGUUCUAUACCGGGACUACUCGGGAUUGUUGGGCACGAUGGCCGGCCCGUGGAAGAAGGACUCGGCCCAGGCCUUGGUCUGGUUGUCCCUGUGUGACUCGCUCAUGAACACCGUACGACAGUUCAGCCUCCCCACGUUGGUCCGUCGACGGCACACACAGGUCCAAGUAUAUCAGUUCCACAAGCGAGUAGCGGGUCAUGCUCACCUUUGCCCGCUGUACCACUGUAACGACGUUUUGUUGCUCCUUCCUUGUAUACCAACUGUGACUACGUACAUUACCCAAUAUGUUAUAUUGAAUUAAAACUUACACAGUACAGGAUAUGCAUAUACAAUAUUAACUCGGAAAACAGUCGGAGAUACAAUAGACUCAAAGGUCUAAAAAACGAACGACGCUAGGAAUUUAAAAGACCAACAAUCGUUAUGAUUUGAAACAGUAGAAG